AUAGCUCAGCUGGAUAGAGCACCUGCCUUCUAAGCAGGCGGUCGAAGGUUCGAAUCCUUCU
RNAcentral lists this transfer RNA (61 nucleotides) under Flavobacterium sp. 5. RNAcentral describes it as "tRNA-Arg". It matches the Rfam family "tRNA", at positions 7 to 64 of the family's 71-position model. From Rfam's summary of the family: Transfer RNA (tRNA) molecules are approximately 80 nucleotides in length. Their secondary structure includes four short double-helical elements and three loops (D, anti-codon, and T loops). Further hydrogen bonds mediate the characteristic L-shaped molecular structure. tRNAs have two regions of fundamental functional importance: the anti-codon, which is responsible for specific mRNA codon recognition, and the 3' end, to which the tRNAs corresponding amino acid is attached (by aminoacyl-tRNA synthetases). tRNAs cope with the degeneracy of the genetic code in two manners: having more than one tRNA (with a specific anti-codon) for a particular amino acid; and 'wobble' base-pairing, i.e. permitting non-standard base-pairing at the 3rd anti-codon position. The record is from RNAcentral. Lineage: Bacteria; Pseudomonadati; Bacteroidota; Flavobacteriia; Flavobacteriales; Flavobacteriaceae.